AACUGGGCUAUUACUGCCCCAAGUGAAAGAGUGUUUCUAUUUCAAGGAAAGAAGCAGAGAGGGUUAUUAAGUAGGCUACCAGAGUGUUUGCAACAUCGUAUAACUCUUUUGGAUUUUUUAAAGAAAAAGUUACAAAUAACUUACUCUUAUAAUUCCUUUCCCUAGUUCAUACCUUGGGGUGUCUUCAUCUAAUGGUAAAAAUACACUAGUCUCCCAUUAUUUGCAGUUUUGCUUUCCGAGGUUUCAGUUACCCUCAAUCAACCACAGUUGGGAAGUAGGAGAUCUCCAUUCUGAUGACAGAGGGCACCGUAGCCGAAAACUAUGUCACACUUCCUGCGUCAUUCACAUCACUUCGUCCAUUUCAUCUCAUUACGCAGGCAUUGUGUCAUCUCACAUCAGCACAAGAGGAAGGGCAUCCACUGUGGGCCUGGGGACAGAUUCCCCGAAGAUAAGGGGGGACGGCUGUGAUAACUUCCAUGUGUUGAGCCCUCACUGAGCCCUUUACGAGCAUGACGUCUUUUAACCCUCAUACGAGUCCUUGGAGGCUUCAGGAAAUUGAAGGGAUGCCCGAGUGGCUUAGUCGGUUAAACGUCUGACUUCACCUCAGGCCAUGAUCUCAACGGUCCAUGAGUUCGAGCCCUGCAUGGGGCUCUGUGCUGACAGCUCAGAGCCUGGCGCCUGCUUCAGAUUCUGUGUCUCCCUGUCUCUCUGCCCCUCCCCCGCUUAUGCUCUGUCUCUCCCUCUCUCUCUCUCUCUCAAAAAUAAAUAAAUAA
This is a long non-coding RNA of Panthera uncia (snow leopard), 773 nucleotides long. RefSeq lists it as uncharacterized. The record is from RefSeq and is a predicted model, not a curated record. The transcript has 3 exons. Lineage: Eukaryota; Metazoa; Chordata; Mammalia; Carnivora; Felidae.